CAAAGGCAAAGCAAUCUGUUCUGCUGAGAACAAGUUGCUUGUUUAGACAUGACUAAAACGUUGGAUGUAGUUAUCUGGAGAAAGUCGUAUGCACCCACAACCUCUGUUAAUUAGACUGAGGAGCUCCUGUCUGCAAGGAGGACAACGAGCCGCUUUGAUAGCAGGAAAACGGGAAAUGAAGUGGGAGGUUGGAUGACUGAAUUGGAACCCUGCCAGAGGCUGCACAGCCGCAUCAGGCCGGCAGCAAGCCCAGCGGCCCAAGCAGAGCAUUUUUACGAAUGAGAGAAGACCCCCACUCCUUCAGACACUUUGCUGCCAUCUGCCAGGAAAUAGCCAUCAGCUCCAAAAGUAGGUGGUUCCCCCAGGACUGCACAGCACAGCCAGCAGACGGCAGCAGGACAGCCCUGACACAUGUAGGAGUCCAGGGCCACCUAAGCUACUGUCAGGUCAGCACUCACGAGGAGGCUGAGCGGAGCAGACGCGAUGCUCCGCCCACCUCUCUCCUCAGCGGUGCAGAAGAGGAAGCGUGAUCCUCUGACCAUCCCAGGAGGGAUCUUGUGCUCACAGAAGGGCAAAGGGAUCUUGACAAGAAAGCAGAAGGUAGCAGCCCGAUUCUUCAGUUUUCAGAGGGUGAAGACAGACAGAAAUGGGGCUGCGGAGCUGUGGACAGUCCGAAGUGUGAAGGAAAGAGUUUCCAUUCCUCUACUCACUUCCAGGUGCCCUUGGGAGCCAUAUCAUGGAAACCCCAGGGAGCUUUCCUUGAACUUGGAGCUGGUUUAGCACCAGGUACAAAUGUUUCAGUUUUCAGCAAGGGGACAGGAGAAUCCAUUUCCUUUCAAACUAUUUGACCCGUUAGAGUCGGACAUCAUGUCAUGGUUUCUUUGCACACUCACGAGUCCUGCGCGCUAGGUAAGCCAGGUUUUUCUGCUAACUGACUGUAUCUAAUGCCAGUGAUAAAAAGCUGGGG
This 967-nucleotide long non-coding RNA is filed under the name Fukomys damarensis (Damara mole-rat). RNAcentral's name for it is "lncRNA (ENSFDAG00000031695.1)". The record is from RNAcentral. Lineage: Eukaryota; Metazoa; Chordata; Mammalia; Rodentia; Bathyergidae.